This 306-nucleotide small nuclear RNA is filed under the name Microcebus murinus (gray mouse lemur). Its description in RNAcentral is "7SK RNA (ENSMICG00000026645.2)". It matches the Rfam family "7SK RNA". From Rfam's summary of the family: 7SK was discovered as an abundant small nuclear RNA in the mid-70s but a possible function has only recently been suggested. Lineage: Eukaryota; Metazoa; Chordata; Mammalia; Primates; Cheirogaleidae. The record is from Rfam by way of RNAcentral.
AGAUGUGAGGGGCAUCUGGCUGUGACAUCUGUCACCUCAUUGAUCACCAGGAUUGAUUCAGCUGAUCUGGCUAGCUAGGCAGGUGUUCCCUUCCUCCCUCACUGAUCCAAGUGCGUCCCUCCCUAUCAAUAGAGGAGGACUGUUCUUCAGUCAAGGGUAUAUGAGUAGCUGCGUUCCCCUGCUAGAACCUCCAAAUAAGCUCUCAAACUCUUGGCCUCAAAUGAUCCUCCUGCUUUUGCCUCCCAAAGUGCUGGGAUUAGAGGCAUGAGCCACCAUGCCCAGCCAACUCCUGGAAUUUUAACAGUU